Pezoporus flaviventris is the source of this 2376-nucleotide long non-coding RNA. RefSeq lists it as uncharacterized. Lineage: Eukaryota; Metazoa; Chordata; Aves; Psittaciformes; Psittacidae. The transcript has 2 exons. The record is from RefSeq and is a predicted model, not a curated record.
GAAUCUUGACCUUUUCAGCUCAUAAUGAUUCCCGAAGCAGCAGGAUUUUUCCUGCUGCUUUUUACAAGACUUUCAGGCUUGAAGAAAUCCUAAGCUGAUUGCUGGCUCGUUUGGGAUUGCAGCAACACCAAAACCUCUCCUCUGUGUAAGAUACUUGUCCUGGUUCUCUGGGCCUAAUCCUGCUCUUAGUAACAUGCAUGUUAAUUCAGUUACCUGACUGAGCUUUUAGGGUAACAGCAGGCUUUGUGUCUUCCUGAUCUUGAUGUUAUAUGAAGAGAUGCAUAUAUUUCAGGAGGAAAUACUGACUGAAGUAUAGAAAGAUUCCCUAUGCACCGUACACACAUUAAUUAAACCUGAAGAUGGAAUAUGAAAAUAGUAGCCCAAAUAUUCUCCUAUUAGAAAGAGCAAAAGCAUAUUUUAUAUUAUUUAACUCAUUCUUUUGAAUGAGUUAACCACAGGAGAAACAAGGCAAUUUUCAUCAGAAGCAUCUUUGCUUUUCAUCAAAGGAGAGAUGACCCAGGCAAUCUCCUAUAACCUUUUCCAUCUCAGUAUGACAAAAUUUCUCUUUCUGAUGGUAUUUUCUCUUUGAAAGCUAUGGGCUUCUCUGAUGUUUGGAAGUCCUAAAACCUGAAUGUCACAGAUUUUCUUGUACCUCCCUGCUUUGCAUUAAACAUAACCUCAUAUAUUUUCUACUUUCAGUGGAAAAUUGGGACAUCUUCCCAUCUUUCUAUUGACCAAACUCUGUUACAAAGGUGCCAGGAGUCCUAUUUCUGGAAAAGAAAUAAAGAAGUAAUAUUCCUAGUGAAACAGGAGUCUAGGCCCAGUAUCUGUUCAAAAUAAACAAGGUAUCUCCUUACAAAUGAGCAUUCACAUUCUUAUUUAUGUGUCCAAUUUUGCGUACUCCGCAAUACUGGAAGGAAAGAAAAGAUGGAAGAACACAUGGAGAAUGGAGAGAAAUUUGAGCAUCCCUGAGGAAACAGAGGUUUAGGGACGGGGCAAUAACUGCAAGAUUGUGAUGAGAUUUUGGAAAACUUUGCUAGAUAAAAACGUAGAACAAAACUGUUGCUGUCAUUUCGUUCCCUGGGCCUGAUUAUGUUUUCAUGAUAGGCCUUUGCACUGCUUUAACUGCAAGAGCUCUUUCAGUAAAUGAGUAUCAGACCUCCAUGCUAGUGAAACGCAAGGCUUGCCAAAUUUAUCGGGAGUCUCUGUGGCACUCUCCAUCCACUCAUCUUGACAAAGAAGUGGUGGAAGCAAACUCAGUAGUUUCAAAUGGCGUCUGUUUUCUUCUCUUCUGGAAUGGUACCUGGAUGCUGCCAGUUUGGAGGCAAGUCAGUGCCAAGGCUCUACGUGGAGCUCUUCCUCGCCCUCCUUCACAAACAGCCAAGAAACAAUCAGAAACCGCUUCAUAAUAGGGCCAGGGUGAAAGGUGAGAACUGGAGUAGUCUGAAAGCCUGCUGCCAGACCUGAGGAAGAUAGUGUCAUUUUGGUAAACCUGUCAAGCUGUUGUAAGAACUUCCUGAAUGCUUCCUACCAUCUGCUUUUGAUGCUUUCAAGACUUGGCUGGAAGCCUGGAGGUUUUCCUGCUCCUUCCUGCCCAACCUAUAAUGGAUGGCCUUGUGCCCUGAAUCAUCUCUCCUGGGGCGGUCAGAGUUCCUCUGAUGUUGAACAAGUGCCGGGUGUUUCAAUUGUGUUCAUGCUCUUGAGAGGAAGGGUCUGGCCUCCACGACACAUUCCUUCUUCACACUCACAUCAACACAAAGUUUAACUUUGUGUACAGGGCUCUCAAUGGAACGGCCACACAAAGCACAUCUCCAACGACUCCGUCAGACUGCACGCUGCGCCGCUGGGCUCAGUGAAUAUUGAUGGAUAUAAAUUGUAGGGUCUGAGAUAAAUGUCGUGAAGGACAAUGAGUUCAAAGAACAGAUUAAAAAACAAUAAAUUGAAUUCCAAGGCGUUCCCUCCUGUACUAAUCUGUGUAGGUUCCUGUGUUUUUGGAAAGCAUGUUGCUUAUCUUCCUCAUCAGUAGGCCCACAGCAUUCCAGUAUUUUGGAUCAAUGCCAUUUGUAAUAAUCUAGAUCAGUUUUUAUUCAACGUUUAUAAACCAGGCCAUGUAUCACAGGGUAUAUUUUAUAGCAGAUGGUAUCUUCAAUUCAUUUAACCCCCCCCCUUCACUUCCCUCCUCCAAUAUCACAGUGCAUACUUAUAAGAGCUCUUCAAAGUAGAGCUGAGCAGAAUUCUCUUCAACAAAUAGUAAAUUUGCUGAAAAAUGGCAUUUCCAAGCAACAAAACUGUUAAACUGUGGCACAGUGAAAAAUGAGAUGUUUUGACUUCUAGAAAAAAUGGGUCUUGCAAUUUAAACAUUUUUGGGGAAAAGAA